Molecule: ribosomal RNA, 450 nt
Filed under: uncultured bacterium
Lineage: Bacteria
Description: partial 16S ribosomal RNA
Rfam family: Bacterial small subunit ribosomal RNA
Source: RNAcentral
GUGGGGAAUUUUGGACAAUGGGGGCAACCCUGAUCCAGCCAUCCCGCGUGUGCGACGAAGGCCUUCGGGUUGUAAAGCACUUUUGGCAGGAAAGAAAUUGCCUGGGUUAAUACCCUGGGUAGAUGACGGUACCUGCAGAAUAAGCACCGGCUAACUACGUGCCAGCAGCCGCGGUAAUACGUAGGGUGCAAGCGUUAAUCGGAAUUACUGGGCGUAAAGCGUGCGCAGGCGGUUCGGAAAGAAAGAUGUGAAAUCCCAGGGCUUAACCUUGGAACUGCAUUUUUAACUACCGGGCUAGAGUGCGUCAGAGGGGGGUGGAAUUCCGCGUGUAGCAGUGAAAUGCGUAGAUAUGCGGAGGAACACCGAUGGCGAAGGCAGCCCCCUGGGAUGACACUGACGCUCAUGCACGAAAGCGUGGGGAGCAAACAGGAUUAGAUACCCCAGUAGUCC